GCCAGGGUAUUACGAGCCCAAGCUUAAAACCCAAAGGACUUGACGGUGUCCCAUCCCUCUAGAGGAGCCUGUUCUAUAAUCGAUUACCCACGAUUUACCUUACCCCUUCUUGAAUAUUCAGUCUGUAUACCUCCGUCGCAAGCUUACCCUGUGAACGCAUAUUUAGUGAGCCAAAAGAUCUCACAUCCAUACGUCAGGUCAAGGUGCAGCCCACGAAGGGGGAAGAAAUGGGCUACAAUCUCUACCCUAGAACAAACGGAAGAUUACAUGAAACACAAAUCCCAAGGUGGAUUUAGUAGUAAAAAGAAAGCAGAGCAUUCUUUUUAAUCAGGCGCUGGGACGCGUACACACCGCCCGUCACCCUCCUCAAAAGAAAUAAAAUGUUAAUAACCCCAUAUAAUUUUAUAGAAGAGGCAAGUCGUAACAUGGUAAGCGUACUGGAAAGUGCGCUUGGAAUAACAAAAUGUAGCUUAAUAAAAGCAUCCUGCUUACACCAGGACUAUGUCUGUGAAACUCUAACCAUUUUGAGCUAAAAGUUUAGCCCAUCUAAUUCUAAUAAAACAAGCCCAUUAAACUAAACAAAUAAAACAUUUUCUUAACCCAGUAAAGGCGAUUAAAAAGCAUUUAGGAG
RNAcentral lists this ribosomal RNA (631 nucleotides) under Sphenophryne schlaginhaufeni (Wandolleck's land frog). Its description in RNAcentral is "Liophryne schlaginhaufeni (Wandolleck's land frog) partial 12S ribosomal RNA". The stretch from base 1 to 466 matches the Rfam family "Bacterial small subunit ribosomal RNA", at positions 871 to 1533 of the family's 1533-position model. The record is from RNAcentral. Lineage: Eukaryota; Metazoa; Chordata; Amphibia; Anura; Microhylidae.